GACGAACGCUGGCGGCGUGCUUAACACAUGCAAGUCACGGGGGCUCGCAAGGGCAACCGGCGAACGGGUGCGUAACACGUGAGCAACUUACCGAUUUGUGGGGGAUAGCCGGCCCAACGGCCGGGUAAUACCGCAUACGCUCUUUGGGUGGAGUCACCUGAAGAGGAAACCUCCGGGGCAAAUCGAGGGGCUCGCGGCCUAUCAGCUAGUUGGUGCGGGUAACGGCCCACCAAGGCGAUGACGGGGUAGCUGGUCUGAGAGGAUGGCCAGCCACAUUGGGACUGAGAAACGGCCCAGACUCCGUACGGGAGGCAGCAGGUGGGGAAUCUUGCGCAAUGGCCGAAAGGCUGACGCAGCGACGCCGCGUGGUGGGAGG
Molecule: ribosomal RNA, 376 nt
Filed under: uncultured bacterium
Lineage: Bacteria
Description: bacterial SSU rRNA
Rfam family: Bacterial small subunit ribosomal RNA
Source: RNAcentral